This 23-nucleotide non-coding RNA is filed under the name Mus musculus (house mouse). The record is from RNAcentral. Lineage: Eukaryota; Metazoa; Chordata; Mammalia; Rodentia; Muridae.
UACCAGCUCGACAUGACAUUCAA